GAUAACCUCAAUAAGAGCAUUUUGGGGGAGUGAUGGGGCAAAACUUGAAUCACGUUGAGAUGUGAGGGGGAGGUGAAUUCGUCACUGAGAGUCCUUUGAGGAGUCCGGAAGGAAGACUUGGAGAUGUGAAGGACAAGAGUGGGGACAUUGAGCACAGGGAAGACAGAAGCAAGUUCAUAGGCUGAUACCCACUUCCAACUGCGAUAAGUGUUGUUUAGUGACAAAGCUGAUUCAUUCCACAUAUUCUGGUUUACCACCUGUUUGUGCCUGGCAGUGUGCCCAGCAUUGUGAAUUCUGUGGUGAAUGAAUUGAAAUAGGCAGAUUUCUGUUCUCGUGGCACUUAUAUGAUAGUAGGGGAGAAAGAUGUGAAUCACAUAGUCACACACACGAAUGUGUAAUUUCCAACGUUGACAGCACACACUGAAAGAAAGGUAGCAAGUGCUGGAGGAUGUACAACAAGGGCCCCUGCCCCAGGCCAACUCCAGAGGCUUCCCUGUGGCGGUGACACUUGAACCAAGUUGUUGAGGGGACAGAAUUCAUAGAACAGAGCAAAUUCGAGAAGAGCCUUCUGGCCAGAGGGAACCGCCCGCCUGUGCAAAGGGAGGUACAUUGAGACCAGAGAGGCAGGCAGGGCUGGGCAGGUAGAGCUCUGGAGGCCAGGACUGAGCUGUGUACAUCCUGAGAGUGAGGGAAGCGUGCUUGAGACCUGCCUGAAUAUCUCCUGUGAUCUGAGACUGGCUGGUCCCUGGAGAAGUCAUUAGAGGAAGCACAGGUGGGCUUAGGGAGAAAGUUGGGAAGUUUCUGUUGCCAUGGUGGACAGGAUUUGGACAACACAUUCCGGUCAGUCUCGGUGCUGGAUGGGAUGAAGAGGGGUAAGGAGAGGAGGAGGUGUUCCAGAAGACCCCUGAGUUCAGGGCUUGCCUUACUGGAGGUGUGGCAGUGCUUUUCUCAGAAUGGGGAGCCCUACAAAGAAAUGAGGUUGUGAGGCAGACCCCCGAGUCUGGUGCUAGACGGCUGAGACAUGUAAGCCGGGAGCUGGGGAGGAGGUAGUUGAAUGCAUGGACCUGGAACCCAGAGUGAGAAAUCACAGAGACCGUUUCAGUACUCCUGUGGGAUCCUGAGUGAAACUGAACUGAAGUUGUAUCAGGUUUCUGGAGCAUAUGCUGAGGGGAUGAGGGAGGCUGAGGAAGAAGAGGCCAAGCACCAACAUUUGGGGCCUGUAAAAAAGAAAGAAAGGUCCUCCUGGGGCACAGAAAAGAAAGGACAAGAGAGGUCUUUCAACAGAAAGAUGGAGUGGUCAGCAGUGGCUAUGUGCAGAAAGGUCAGAGGUCAAGGGCAAAUCCAGGAGCUCUUCUGAGGUGCAACUGCCCAAUAGCCAUGGCAUCCCUGGAAUUGGGCAGUGUAGGGACACUACAAUCGUCCCUGCCGAUUGGUACCCCCCAGGGCCCAUGGGAGACCUCAGGGGACCGUAGCAGAGGCAGCCUGUAUAGGGGGUGAUUAAGGAAAGAAGAAGUGAGGGAGCAAAGUCUAAGGCCUUUAAAUUAAAUUUUAGUCUUCAAGGAAAGAGCAGUGCUCGCAUACAGAUAUUCUGAGGGAAGGGAGCCUGAGUAAUGGAGUGAUUAAGGAUGGAGACAAUUAGUGAGAUGAGUUCCCACAGGGGUUGGGUUCAAGUGUGGUGGUGUAUAAAUUAGUUUGGGGCAAUAAUGUAUAUUUGACUGGAUGGGGCAAAAUUUAAUUAUUUACCUUUUAGAGAGUAACUUGAUCUCCAUGUUCUUUUGGGAGCUUUUAUCUGACCUGUGUACCAAAUACGGCUCUAAUUAGCACAAUUUUUAUCCUGUCUCAGGGCUGGAAUCAUGUCUUAUUUUUUGUGUUUCUCAGCACCUAGCAAUAGGCAGUAAGGUCUUUGGGUGCCGAAUCAAUAUUAUCUGCCUUGGAAUGAAAAAUCUGAAGUCAACAUUCAAACUUUUUAACCAAAAAGAAUCUGUGAUAAUUCUCCAGAAGUACAAUGUGGGAAAGAAUUGGUAUAAAGUCCUGGUGGCAGGAGUUUGGGGUAGUGGGGGGGUGGAGAGAAAGUACAAGAGUGAGCUCUCUUCAUUCUUAUAUGUUCUGUCCCAUUUAUGCAUUUCACCAUCAUCUCAUAUGAACUUGACCUUCCCCUGUAGGAAGGAGAGCAUCAUCUCCCAUCAUAGAGGAGGGAACAGAAACCAGAGAAGGGGAGCUUCCCCUAACGGUCCAGUGUUCGAGAAUCUAUCUCCCAAUGCAGGGGAUGUGGGUUCAAUACCUGGUAGGGGAACUAAGAUCCCACAUGCCUCCAGGCAAGUAAGCUUACACACCGCAUUGAAGACCUAGCAUAGUGCCCCACCCUCCACCCCCCAAAAAAAACAGAGAAGGAAGCGCCUUGCUGACAUCAAGCACAAAUAACAGGAGCUGGAUUCAACCUCAGUCCAUCGAGGAUCACAGUCCUUCUUUCCAGGAUCAGGUUGAGCUGAGAGAAAGAGGAAGAGGAGCCUGUGAGGUUCAGGUGGAGACGCUCCACUUGGACAUGUGCAGAAGGUUGGAGACACACUCUGACAGGAGACCGGAUAUUAAAGCAUCAUAUUAAACUCCAGUGAUAACAUCUGCAAUGCUAGCACCAGAGCAGCUGAUUAUUACAACAUGACGGAUUGCCUAGUUCAUUCUCUCCACUGAACUGAGAUGAAACUCCCUCACACACUGAAUCGCCAUGUCUAGGUGCUGUUGGGUGAAAACAUGAUGCUUGGAGCUCUGACAGCCAUCUUGUGACCAGGAGGGAAAGGCCAGGAGAUGCAACUCUGUGCUGACUCCAGCUUGAACACCUGGCACCACUGAUUUCUGGACUUGCUUUGAAAUAAAUAAAAUGUU
This is a long non-coding RNA of Dama dama (fallow deer), 2880 nucleotides long. RefSeq lists it as uncharacterized. The record is from RefSeq and is a predicted model, not a curated record. The transcript is spliced from 3 exons. NCBI's taxonomy places the organism in Eukaryota, Metazoa, Chordata, Mammalia, Artiodactyla, Cervidae.